UAGAAAUGUCAAAAAAAAUAAGAAAAAAGUAUGUCAAGAAUGCAUAAAAUGAUACCAGUCUAUCCUGGUAUCAGGAUAGGCAUAAGCUUCUAUUCUAAGCAAGACAGCUGCCAAGUUUUUUAAAAGACCACCACGACAUUUAAAGGAGAUAUGAAGGAGGACAUCAAGAAGGAAAUCUGGGAUAUGACUGAAGGGGACCUGUGUUCACCACUGACCUCAGCAAAACUGGCUGGAAUAUAUCACAUGUCCUGGGACUCAGGGCCUACGGAGCAGCUAAACUGCACCAACCUAGACACAUGUGAUAAUGCAGAGGGAAUUCAGCAGAUGGACGUUCAGAGGCAGAGUCAGGUGACCUGGUUGUAUAUGUCCAUGGACCCUGAUGAAAGACUGAUGGAAAUACAGAUGACAGCUGGUCCCUAUACUAGAAGGUAGAAUUUUAUGUAAGCACAAAGAGCUUUAAGACUGCCUGCAUGUUUAACAUGUAUUUCACACUGUUUCAGAUAAAUGGGAAUUUUUUACAACUCAUUUUCAAAUCAAAACAUUCUUUAAAAUAGUACUGUGCUGAAAAGGUAAAAUGUAAAUAUCUCAGAUAUUUUAAAAAAGGCAAAACUGGUUUCAUCUAAACCAGAUUUCUUGUACUCACACAAAAUUUAGAAUUUACCAACA
Molecule: non-coding RNA, 666 nt
Organism: Odocoileus virginianus texanus
Lineage: Eukaryota; Metazoa; Chordata; Mammalia; Artiodactyla; Cervidae
Source: RefSeq, a predicted model, not a curated record